Molecule: ribosomal RNA, 847 nt
Filed under: uncultured Gammaproteobacteria bacterium
Lineage: Bacteria; Pseudomonadati; Pseudomonadota; Gammaproteobacteria
Description: bacterial SSU rRNA
Rfam family: Bacterial small subunit ribosomal RNA
Source: RNAcentral
GAUUAGAGUUUGAUCAUGGCUCAGAUUGAACGCUGGCGGCAGGCCUAACACAUGCAAGUCGAGCGAGAAAGCCCUUCGGGGUGAGUACAGCGGCGGACGGGUGAGUAACGCGUAGGAAUCUACCUAGUAGUGGGGGACAACUCGAGGAAACUCGAGCUAAUACCGCAUACGCCCUAAGGGGGAAAGCGGGGGAUCUUCGGACCUCGCGCUAUUGGAUGAGCCUGCGUAGGAUUAGCUUGUUGGUGAGGUAAAAGCUCACCAAGGCGACGAUCCUUAGCUGGUCUGAGAGGAUGAUCAGCCACACUGGGACUGAGACACGGCCCAGACUCCUACGGGAGGCAGCAGUGGGGAAUAUUGCGCAAUGGGGGCAACCCUGACGCAGCCAUGCCGCGUGUGUGAAGAAGGCCUUAGGGUUGUAAAGCACUUUCAAUUGGGAAGAAAAGCUGUUGCUUAAUAAGUAACAGCCCUGACAUUACCUUUAGAAGAAGCACCGGCUAACUCCGUGCCAGCAGCCGCGGUAAUACGGAGGGUGCGAGCGUUAAUCGGAAUUACUGGGCGUAAAGCGCGCGUAGGCGGUUGUUUAAGUCGGAUGUGAAAGCCCUGGGCUCAACCUGGGAACUGCAUUCGAUACUGGGCAACUAGAGUAUGAAAGAGGGAGGUAGAAUUCCAUGUGUAGCGGUGAAAUGCGUAGAUAUAUGGAGGAAUACCAGUGGCGAAGGCGGCCUCCUGGUUCAAUACUGACGCUGAGGUGCGAAAGCGUGGGGAUCAAACAGGAUUAGAUACCCUGGUAGUCCACGCCGUAAACGAUGUCUACUAGCCGUUGGGAGACUUGAUUUCUUAGUGGCGC